RNAcentral lists this ribosomal RNA (508 nucleotides) under uncultured Glomus. Its description in RNAcentral is "SSU rRNA". It matches the Rfam family "Eukaryotic small subunit ribosomal RNA", at positions 569 to 1078 of the family's 1831-position model. Lineage: Eukaryota; Fungi; Glomeromycota; Glomeromycetes; Glomerales; Glomeraceae. The record is from RNAcentral.
AGCAGCCGCGGUAAUUCCAGCUCCAAUAGCGUAUAUUAAAGUUGUUGCAGUUAAAAAGCUCGUAGUUGAAUUUCGGGGUUAGUAAGUUGGUCAUGCCAUUGGUAUGCACUGGCUUUACUGAUUCCUCCUUCUUGACGAACCGUGAUGUCAUUAAUUUGGUGUUGCGGGAAAUCAGGACUGUUACUUUGAAAAAAUUAGAGUGUUUAAAGCAAGCUAACGCUUGAAUACAUUAGCAUGGAAUAAUGAAAUAGGACGUUCGAUCCUAUUUUGUUGGUUUCUAGGAUUGACGUAAUGAUUAAUAGGGAUAGUUGGGGGCAUUAGUAUUCAAUUGUCAGAGGUGAAAUUCUUGGAUUUAUUGAAGACUAACUACUGCGAAAGCAUUUGCCAAGGAUGUUUUCAUUAAUCAAGAACGAAAGUUAGGGGAUCGAAGACGAUCAGAUACCGUCGUAGUCUUAACCAUAAACUAUGCCGACUAGGGAUCGGAUGAUGUUAAUUCUUUAAUGACUCA